UACGGGGGGGGCAAGCGUUGUUCGGAAUUACUGGGCGUAAAGGGCUUGUAGGUGGCCAACUAAGUCAGACGUGAAAUCCCUCGGCUUAACCGGGGAACUGCGUCUGAUACUGGAUGGCUUGAGUGUGGGAGAGGGAAGCAGAAUUCCUGGUGUAGAGGUGAAAUUCGUAGAUAUCAGGAGGAACACCAGAGGCGAAGGCGGCGACCUGGACAAGUACUGACACUCAACUACGAAAGCGUGGGGAGCAAACAGG
RNAcentral lists this ribosomal RNA (253 nucleotides) under uncultured bacterium. RNAcentral's name for it is "partial 16S ribosomal RNA". It matches the Rfam family "Bacterial small subunit ribosomal RNA", at positions 524 to 776 of the family's 1533-position model. The record is from RNAcentral.